GACGGGUGAGUAAUACAUCGGAACGUGUCCGCUCGUGGGGGACAACCAGCCGAAAGGUUGGCUAAUACCGCAUGAGUUCUACGGAAGAAAGAGGGGGACCCGCAAGGGCCUCUCGCGAGCGGAGCGGCCGAUGACUGAUUAGCCUGUUGGUGAGGUAACGGCUCACCAAAGCAACGAUCAGUAGCUGGUCUGAGAGGACGACCAGCCACACUGGGACUGAGACACGGCCCAGACUCCUACGGAAGGCAGCAG
This 252-nucleotide ribosomal RNA is filed under the name uncultured bacterium. RNAcentral describes it as "partial 16S ribosomal RNA". It matches the Rfam family "Bacterial small subunit ribosomal RNA", at positions 100 to 354 of the family's 1533-position model. The record is from RNAcentral.